Molecule: ribosomal RNA, 304 nt
Filed under: uncultured bacterium
Lineage: Bacteria
Description: partial 16S ribosomal RNA
Rfam family: Bacterial small subunit ribosomal RNA
Source: RNAcentral
CAGCAGCAGCCGCGGGAAUACGAAGGGGGCUAGCGUUUUUCGGAAUUACUGGGCGUAAAGCGCACGUAGGCGGACAUUUAAGUCAGGGGUGAAAUCCCGGGGCUCAACCCCGGAACUGCCUUUGAUACUGUGUGUCUAGAGUAUGGAAGAGGUGAGUGGAAUUCCGAGUGUAGAGGUGAAAUUCGUAGAUAUUCGGAGGAACACCAGUGGCGAAGGCGGCUCACUGGUCCAUUACUGACGCUGAGGUGCGAAAGCGUGGGGAGCAAACAGGAUUAGAUACCCCUGUAGUCCCUGUCUCUUAUAC